CUGAUCUACCAGUACAAAAGCUGGUAUAUAACCAUAAGACGAGAAGACCCUGCGGAGCUUUAAGUUUCAGUGCUACUCCAACAAAAAUAAACCCUAUUAGGGCCCACAACAACCACAUAGCACUACACUUUAAGUUGGGGCAACUGCGGAGAAAAACAAAACCUCCAUGAAAACAGGCUACAAGCCACCAAAAAACACACCAGUUACCUGGUUAAAAAUUUGACCCAGCAAUGCUGCUCACCGAACCAAGUUACCCCAGGGAUAACAGCGCCAUCCCCCUCAAGAGUUCAUAUCGCCAGGGGGGCUUACGACCUCGAUGUUGGAUCAGGACACCCAGAUGGUGUAGCCGCUAUCAAUGGUUCGUUUGUUCAACGAUUAAUGUCCUACGUGAU
RNAcentral lists this ribosomal RNA (392 nucleotides) under Afroedura bogerti (Bogert's rock gecko). RNAcentral's name for it is "partial 16S ribosomal RNA". It matches the Rfam family "Bacterial large subunit ribosomal RNA", at positions 2042 to 2604 of the family's 2925-position model. Lineage: Eukaryota; Metazoa; Chordata; Lepidosauria; Squamata; Gekkonidae. The record is from RNAcentral.